RNAcentral lists this ribosomal RNA (520 nucleotides) under uncultured bacterium. Its description in RNAcentral is "bacterial SSU rRNA". It matches the Rfam family "Bacterial small subunit ribosomal RNA", at positions 48 to 507 of the family's 1533-position model. The record is from RNAcentral.
AUUAGGCAUGCAAGUCGAACGGUAUAAACCUUCGGGUUUAGAGAGUGGCGAACGGUGAGUAACACGUAGUAAUCUACCCGUCAAAACGGGGACAACCCAGGGAAACUUGGGCUAAUACCGGAUGCGUGCAAGCAAUUGUUUGGCUGUUAAUGCUAUUCACGGAAGUGAGUAGUGUUAAUGGUUGAGAGCAUUAUUUGCAUAAAAGGUGGCAUAUGCUGCCGUUUGAGGAUGAGCCUGCGUCCUAUUAGUUAGUUGGUGAGGUAAUGGCUUACCAAGGCGAUGAUAGGUAGGCGGCCUUAACGGGUGGUCGCCCACACUGGGAUUGAGAGACGGCCCAGACUCCUACGGGAGGCAGCAGUCGAGAAUAGUCUACAAUGGACGGAAGUCUGAUAGUGCGACGCCGCGUGAACGAAGAAUCCCUUCGGGGUGUAAAGUUCUUUUAUACGUGAGCAGUGCCCUUUAUAUGAAUAGUAUAGAGGGAGGGAUUUAAGCGUAUGAAUAAGCAACGGCUAACUCCGUG